Molecule: ribosomal RNA, 468 nt
Filed under: uncultured bacterium
Lineage: Bacteria
Description: partial 16S ribosomal RNA
Rfam family: Bacterial small subunit ribosomal RNA
Source: RNAcentral
GACGAACGCUGGCGGCGUGCUUAACACAUGCAAGUCGAACGGAAAGGCCCUGCUUUCGUGCGGUGCUCGAGUGGCGAACGGGUGAGUAACACGUGAGUAACCUGCCCUUGACUUUGGGAUAACUUCAGGAAACUGGGGCUACUACAGUAUAGGAUAUCAUGCUGCAUGGUGGGGGUUGGAAAGUUGCGGCUGUUGGGGAUGGACGGGCGGCUUAUCAGCUAGUUAGUGGGGUAGUGGCUGACCAAGGCUUUGACGGGUAGCCAGCAUGGGAGGGUGGCCGGCCACAUGGGGACUGCGGUAGGGCCCAGUCUCCUACGUGAGACAGCAGUGGGGAAUAUGGCACAACGGGCGGAAGCCUGAUGCAGCAACGUCGCGUGCGGGAUGACGGCCUUCGGGUUGAGAACCGCUUUCGCCUGUUACGAAGCGUGAGUGACGGUACUGGGUAAAGAAGCACCGGCUAACUACGUG